RNAcentral lists this ribosomal RNA (497 nucleotides) under uncultured bacterium. RNAcentral describes it as "partial 16S ribosomal RNA". It matches the Rfam family "Bacterial small subunit ribosomal RNA", at positions 28 to 507 of the family's 1533-position model. The record is from RNAcentral.
GAUGAACGCUGGCGGCGUGCCUAAUACAUGCAAGUCGAGCGAACAGACGAGGAGCUUGCUCCUCUGAUGUUAGCGGCGGACGGGUGAGUAACACGUGGAUAACCUACCUAUAAGACUGGGAUAACUUCGGGAAACCGGAGCUAAUACCGGAUAACAUGUUGAACCGCAUGGUUCAACAGUGAAAGACGGUCUUGCUGUCACUUAUAGAUGAAUCCGCGCCGCAUUAGCUAGUUGGUAAGGUAACGGCUUACCAAGGCAACGAUGCGUAGCCGACCUGAGAGGGUGAUCGGCCACCCUGGAACUGAGACACGGUCCAGACUCCUACGGGAGGCAGCAGUAGGGAAUCUUCCGCAAUGGGCGAAAGCCUGACGGAGCAACGCCGCGUGAGUGAAGAAGGUCUUCGGAUCGUAAAACUCUGUUAUUAGGGAAGAACAAAUGUGUAAGUAACUAUGCACGUCUUGACGGUACCUAAUCAGAAAGCCACGGCUAACUACGUG